AUGCUUCCGCAGUCCGAUUGCCGCUCGCAAGUCGUAUGUCGAAAAGCCUCUCCUUGCCAUCGUCGUCGGUGAGCGUUAGAGCCACCGAUCUAAAGAAGUUUCUAUUUCUCCACUAUAAUCACUUUAAAUUCGACAGAUUUUUCCUUUUUCCAACAAAAAAAAAAGUUUGGAUUUGUGGUAUUUUGUGUGGAACUGAAGAAUCGUGAUUGUGAGUUUUGCAUAUUACGACGGGAAUGAAUGACAAGGGGCUAAAGCUCUACGCCCUGUGUAUCUGAACACGGCUCGUGUCUUGUUGUCAAUUUGGUAUGUUGAUGGCGAUGAAGGAAUCCGAUGUUUUCCAAUCGAGAGAUUGGCUUAAAGCAGUACCUAUUUGGAAGUCGCGUACGUCUUGAGAUUAGGCGGAAGGACGUAUGCAAGUGCAAACUGCAAUUUCAGUUUUUGUAUUGAAACUAAAUGGACCAGUGAAGCAAAGUCUCAUUAUCAUUCAAGUGCAGUGUUAGUUUGAGUUCAUGUUUUGGCUUCACAAGGCAUGACGAAAGAGCAUAUAAAUUUCUAUAGCUUGCACGGAGAUAAGAGUCAACUGACUGCUAGCGAUCAACAUGUCAAAGAUGGUUUAUACCUUGCUUUAUUUGAAAUCCUCGAGUUUAGUGAGUCAUUCUUUGAGAUAAAUUUGUUUGCUUCUCAUGGAGGUUUGAUGCAAAAAAGGCAUUAUAAGUGUGUUGUAUAUCAAACUUUGUACAAUUAACUGUUCUAGACAAUCUAUGUACUAUUAAAUGUACCUUUCUCCUCGACGGAAGCCAUGUCCUCGGACCGCGCCAGCGAUCUCGCCCUUUCUCCCAUGGAUGUCCUCCCCCAACGCUUGCGCCGCUACAACCACCUUUUCCAAUGACUAGAAGUCUUAGAGCUUGAGUAAUUCCUCCAUCAAAAUCCUCGUCAGAUCUGUCGAUGACAGCGGUGACAAGGAGAGACGAGUCCCACGAGUCUCAGGCGAGGUCGUGGUGAGGGCGAAGUCAAGUUCGUCGCCGGUGAGGAUAUUUCAGCCGUUUUGGCAUCAAAGAUUCAAAUCUUUUGGCAAUGAUUUCCCCGUCAUUUGGUCUCCUCCCCAAAUCCUUGGACGUCUCUGUUGUGUUUGCGAGGGGUUGACAGGAUUGAAGCGACAAAUCAAAUAUAUGAUUUCUCCUAAUUCAUUCCUAAAAAAUCAGACGAAAUUAACAGAUUUCUUCCUCAAAUUAAAUAUAUGA
Morus notabilis is the source of this 1241-nucleotide long non-coding RNA. RefSeq lists it as uncharacterized. NCBI's taxonomy places the organism in Eukaryota, Viridiplantae, Streptophyta, Magnoliopsida, Rosales, Moraceae. The transcript has 3 exons. The record is from RefSeq and is a predicted model, not a curated record.